Molecule: long non-coding RNA, 2316 nt
Organism: Cyclopterus lumpus (lumpfish)
Lineage: Eukaryota; Metazoa; Chordata; Actinopteri; Perciformes; Cyclopteridae
Exons: 3
Source: RefSeq, a predicted model, not a curated record
AUUUCUCCAGCCCAAGAACCCCGACGUGAGCGAGUGACGUCACCGCGUCACAACAAUCCUCUGGGCGGAGGGGGCGGGGUCAAGGGCUCAGACACACAUGCGGCACGAUCAUGUAAACACUGGCCUAGACUGCCCGAAUAACUGCAAUGUAUUGGACACGAUUGUAUGGAAGCCCAUUUCUGUCAGAGGAAAUACAAAAUUUUUUAGCUGUGAUAACAAAAAUAUCCCCAUGAUUGAUUCCAGUGUCAUACACCUCGUGACAGAUGACCAGCUUACGAGUACCGGCCGUCCCCUGGGGACCAACUGGCUGUUUUUGUAUACGGAAGGAAAAAUAACCCAGCAGUCGCAAGUCAAAGCUCUUUGAGCGACUUGGAGGAAAGAAACAAAGAUGAUCAUGUGUCUCAGAGUGCUCAGAAGAAUCAGAGAAAAAAUUGAGAUGAGAUGGAUGAAUUUCAGAGAAGGGGAAUUUGUUCAGGUGCAGACGGGAGCCUCCCACUGAUUUUGACAUUGAUUUAACUGACUUCCAGCAGCAUUCAUUAGAUAGUAGUAUCACUCGGGGAACAUAUGAAAAGACAAAGUCACCUCUCUUACGUUUCUAUUCAACAACCAAGAAGAAAGACAUUGUCAGUGACCUACAUCUUGAGGAGGAGAAUAGUGAUGCCACUGCGCAGGUGAAAAGACACAAAAAGAGAAGUACCUUCCUGUAAAACCUGCACCUGACCUUCUGGAGCCAGCUGUUCUGGGCUUUGUGGAGAGCGACCUUGUGGACUGGUCUCAGCGAGUGGUCUUUGAAUCUUCUCCUUCACAUUUUGAAGGUGUUGACCGAGGAGAAUUGUUGGAGAUCAUGGAUAUUCACAACUGCCGGAGGCUUUCAGCAGCAUUGAGCAAAUCUUGAGAGAGCUUGCUCACUAAAAACUGAUUCAAGAGCUGCUUUGCUUUGCACCUAUUAGAUCACAGCUGAAAGGGACUGCAGCGGUCUAUGUAGAGCUACAACCAACAUCACGAAAGAUCAUGAGAUCGAUGACUUACCCCAGUACCCAGAACGCCACAGGACCAACUAAUUGUCAAGUAUGCAAGUGCAUACCUUAGAGAGUCAGGCUCCUUUUUUCCUUAGGUGUUGCACUGGAUCAGACUUGUUCACAGGAAAUAACUUCACUGUCAGCUUCACACAACUUCAGGGAUUUCAGAGGAGACCUGUUGCUCACAUGUGUCAGUUAUGACAACUGUAUACCCAGAUUUUCCACAUGAAAUGAAGCAAGUUUUAAAAAGCAGCAUGUGGGUGACGGACAUUGUCUAAGCUACAAAGAUUUUAGCCGACAACUGGACUGCGAUCAGAGGUUCGUGCUUUGUAGGUUUUCCAGAUGUUUUCCAGCUCCUUUGUUUACCUGACUAGGUGUCACAGCUUCAACAAUUUUCAGCUGCUUUUUGCCACUUUUGUUUUGUUGAACAUUGUUUUCAGUUUAAAUAUCCAUUUAAUAAUGACAGUGGUGCCCUAUCCUUCAGUUUUAACAGCAAUUGGCCCACAUAAUGUGCAUGUCUCACAGAACGUAGUACUGAACACAGGUUCACUGGUAUUUAUAUAAUUUGUAGUAAUAUAGUUGGUGCUUUCUGUUGACUAUGUAAUAGUAGUACAUUUCUGCAGCAAUGGUCACUUUAUAUGCACAUUAAUAUAUCAAUAUAAUGUAAUUUAUAUGCACACAAUUUAAUCACAUUUGAAAUGCUGGCACCUUUUAAAGGUUUGGAUUUUGUAACAUUUGUGUACCUCUGGUGCCACCUACAGGCCAAACGUCACGUCACUUUAUUUUUGUUGCCUUGUGUUGGCUAGAAAUAGCAAUGUUUUGUUCUCUAUUUUUCAUCAAGUGCUCUGUAUUUCAUAUUAUUCCAAUAGGUUUUACGACAUACGAUGAUAUGAUACCUUCACCACCAGCAUGGCUGUAGUUUUAUUACAUUUAAUGUUUGUCUUUCAAACUCAAAGCAAUGCUUAAUGAAAUAUUAAUUCACUGGUUUGCAUAGCACUGUAGCAGAAUAUGCCUUUGAAAUUAAUUCAAAUGAAUCUGUGUUGAUAUGUCUUGAAGGCCUCUGAAGCGUUUAUGACCUGUCCAACGUGUUCAUCUUCUCAGAACUCCUGAAUAUGUGGGGCGGCUUUAAACAAGAUUGAUUUUCUAAAACAUCUGUUCUUUGCUCUACAAAGUCAUCCAGAUGACUGAGUGUACAUGUUGGUGGAAGAGGUUUGAGCGGCUUUGUAGCCAGUCGGCGUUUUUACGACCCCUGCAAACGAUUCACCGUUUUAAAAACCCGUUCCCCACAUUAACUCGA